UGGGGAAUUUUGGACAAUGGGGGCAACCCUGAUCCAGCAAUGCCGCGUGAGUGAAGAAGGCCUUCGGGUUGUAAAGCUCUUUUGUCAGGGAAGAAACGGUAGUAGCGAAUAACUACUACUAAUGACGGUACCUGAAGAAUAAGCACCGGCUAACUACGUGCCAGCAGCCGCGGUAAUACGUAGGGUGCAAGCGUUAAUCGGAAUUACUGGGCGUAAAGCGUGCGCAGGCGGUUGUGUAAGUCAGAUGUGAAAUCCCCGGGCUCAACCUGGGAAUUGCAUUUGAGACUGCACGGCUAGAGUGUGUCAGAGGGGGGUAGAAUUCCACGUGUAGCAGUGAAAUGCGUAGAUAUGUGGAGGAAUACCGAUGGCGAAGGCAGCCCCCUGGGAUAACACUGACGCUCAUGCACGAAGGCGUGGGGAGCAAACAGGAUUAGAUACCCAAGUAGUCCCUGAGCGGGCUGGCAAGGCGCAU
RNAcentral lists this ribosomal RNA (472 nucleotides) under uncultured bacterium. Its description in RNAcentral is "bacterial SSU rRNA". It matches the Rfam family "Bacterial small subunit ribosomal RNA", at positions 355 to 825 of the family's 1533-position model. The record is from RNAcentral.